AAGUACACGGAAUUCCAGACACGGAAGCACCUGAAUUAAGACUCUCCCCUGCGUGGAAGCCAUACCCAGGCCAGGGCUCCAUCUCUCCUCUCUCUCCUUGCCAGUCAUUAGUCUUCUUCCCUCUGUCUUUGUGGCCAAUGUUCUGACAGAUCCAUGACUAGCUUUGAUGCCCAGUCUCACCUGCUCUCUGACUAAAUGCACAAGAGGAAGGAGGGCUGAAGGCCAUUCAGACACCUAUUUCCAUCUUCACAGCUCGGCCCCCCUGUGCCUUUCUUCUUCUGGCUUCUGUAAAAUGUAAUUUCUGGGAGUUCCCAUCGUGGCUCAGUGGUUAAUGAAUCCGACUAGGAACCAUGAGGUUGCGGGUUCGAUCCCUGGCCUCGCUCAGUGGAUUAAGGAUCCAGCAUUGCCGUGAGCCACGGUGUAGGUAGACAAAGCUCAGAUUUGGCGUUGCUGUGGCUCUGGUGUAGGCUGGCAGCUACAGUUCUGAUUCGAUCCCUAGCCUGGGAACCUCCAUAUGCCGCGGGUGCAGCCCUAAAAAGAAAAAAAAAAAAAAAAAAAAGGUAAUUUCCCACCUAGGUAAUGACCACGGGCUUACAAAGUUUCCAGUUCAACCACAGUCAGAGUCAGAAGCUAGAACACUGAGGACCCAAGAUACGCUGAAACUCAAAGCCCAUAGCAAAAAUGUUUAAGCAAGAACUGAGGCAUGUGUCAUACAGCCUUUCCAGCUUAAGAACCUAUAAAAUUGGGCUGGGAGUGGGGGUGGUAAAUACUAGCAUGGACCUCUCUCCUCUUUAGCAUCUGGCUCUGAACCUCAGGAAACAUUCUGAGGACAAGAAAAAGUCUGAAAAUGAACAGAAAACUUGAAAUAAAGAGAUUAAGAAUCAAAGACCUAGAGAUCAAAAAGCAAAUCAAAGAAGUCUUCAAAGUCCAACUUUGAAGAUCAGUGAUUCUUAAACUGUGUUCUACAGAGGCACUUUCAAGGACUAAGUGGGCAGGUCUCCAGACCCUAGAACUCCACUUAAGCAGAGCACAACAUUUUUAUCUCUUUUACAUACUAGACCUCCAUGUCAGACUUCAACUUGAAGGACGGGUUCCACAGCUUGGAAAAAACAAGCUGAAGAAACCUUAUUUUGUACUGCAUCCAUUCAUGCAUUCAUCCAUUCAGCAAAUAUUUAUAGAGCAUCGCUGUGACAAGCACUGUGCUAAGGGAUGGAGAUACAAAAAUAAGUAAGACAUGGUUGCUGUCCUCAAGGGGUUCCUGGUAGAGACAGGGAGACAGACAAAUGAUGCAAAACUCAGAGCAGAGUGUGAUCGGGUGCGACCAUGGGGAAGAACAGAAAGCCCGGAGAUUCCAUAAAACAGAUGCUUCGACACCUGGAAAUAGGCUUUGAAACUCUGCUUAAAUAUACCCAGUAAUGGGAAAUUCUACAAGGUAGCCAAUUCUCUUUUAAACACUUGUACUUAUUAGCAAUUUUCCUUUCUAGGGUUGAAAUCUAUGUUCUCGUGGCUUCAAUCCUUCGGCUCUAGUUCUGCCUCUAAGUCUACCUGGACUGGGUUCCAUUAACCUUUUCCACAAGACUGGUUUUGAAGAUUUGGGUUCUGUCAUCACUCCCUUCCCUGGACUUUCUACUCCCUAAGUACAUAGUCUCUAUAUUUGUACCAAUUAUAUUACGUUUCAUGUAACCAAGACGAAAGAGAGAAUUUGGUGAGAAGAGGGACUUGAAGAAAUGGUGCCUAAUAUGUGAGAACUUUGUUUUAUUUGGGAUAAUUGUAAGAAUGGUCAUAGUGCUAUCAUGGAAUCAAGAAAACAGUAUGCAAAUGAAAUUAGACAUAAUAAAGUACACGACUACAGAGCUUUAAAGCUCGUAUUUCUUCACUAUUAACAUUCGAAACUAAUGGUAAUCCGUAGAGGGUGACAAAAAAUAUAUAAGAAACAUACAUAAAAAUGAUUUACUGAUGCUAAGCUACAACACAUGAUAUGUUCAAUGUGUUGUCCAUCAUUAAAAUGCAUAGUUCAGGAGUUCCCUUGGUGGCUCAGUGGUUAAUGAAUCCGACUAGGAACCAUGAGCUGCAGGUUUGAUCCCUGGCCUCGCUCAGUGGGUUAAGGAUCCGGCGUUGCUGUGAGCUGUGGUAUAGGUCGCAGACACAGCUUGGAUCCCGCGUUGCUGUGGCUCUAGCAUAGGCCAGUGGCUACAGCUCCGAUUGGACCCCUAGUCUGGGAACCUCCAUAUGCCGUGGGUGCAGCCCUAGAAAAGACCAAAAAUAAAUAAAUAAAUAAAUAAAUUUUAAAAAUUAAAUAAAAUAAAAUGCAUAGUUCGACAUUCCAUUUAAAACUAGAAUGGGAGUUCCUGUCGUGGCGCAGUGGUUAACGAAUAUGACUAGGAACCGUGAGGUUGCAGGUUCGAUCCCUGCCCUCGCUCAGUGGGUUAAGGAUCUGGCGUUGCCGUGAGCUGUGGUGUAGGUCGCAGAUGCGGCUCAGAUCCUACGUUGCUGUGGUUCUGGUGUAGGCCAGCGGCUGCAGCUCCAAUUAGACCCCUAGCCUGGGAACCUCCAUAUGCCGCGGGAGCGGCCCUAGAAAAGGCAAAAAGACAAAAAAAAAAACAACAAACUAGAAUGGACAGUUUCCAUCAAUGCCUGCAUAAGCAUCUGAGAUAUGCUGCCUGAGAGAACUAUGUCUCUGAUUUCCACUGACUGAACUUACACCAAGAAGUAAUUAGAGAAGAUCUAUAAAAAACAAUAAAGUAACAUUACCUAUGUUUGUAGAUUUCAUGGCCAGCAUCUAUUUUUCAUUAAAAUUUUACUGUUUAAUUUUUAAUUACUUUUUAAUUAUUGAAAACUUAAAAAAAAUCUUCAUGCCUAAGAAAAAAUUCUAAACUGUUCUAUACGUAUAAUUUUUAAAAGCACCUCAGUAUUCCUUUCUUAAACCACAAUUUCCAUGCAUGGGAAAUUUUGCUAUCUCAUUAAUUAAGAAGCUUUGAAGGCUGGUAUGAAAUCUAACACUCAUAUAAUUUUACUUCUAUUUUAAAAAAUCUAUCAGUUAAAAUGGUUUGAAGAUAAAUUUUCUGAACACAGGCUUUGCAUAAGAAGUAUAUUUCACUAUUAACAUAAAAUGUAAGUACCACCUGCCUCCAAGGGAAUUGAAGUAGUAAUGUAAGCCUGUUCAAAAAUUUAAAAGCAUGUGCAGAUAUUAUUAUGGUGUGUAUUAAAUUUUACUUUGAUCUUUCUGGCAGCCUAGGCAAAAAGAAAAACAUGAAAGAAUAUUUAAUUAUACUUGAUGCAUCUGAUAAGAUAAAAUAUUCAGGGUGGUUUUUUAAGGAAAAAAUAAACAUUUUUACUACUAAAUUCCAAGCAAAGUUCAUCAAGAGGCACUAAUCCAAGGGGAUUUAAACAAGAAACAUUUAGCAAUACCAUGUCUUCAACAAAAAUAUGCAAUAAAAGGAUGGAAAACAAUCCUAAUAAUGUUAUAUAUGACAUAAAUCUUCUAUAAAACUUGAGGGCACUGUAUUAAUGUCAUUUAGUGAGGGUGUUUUCGUGGAGAAUUAUACUGAAGAAGUUCAGAAAUGUAGCUCUUUUCUGAACUGUGAUCAUGAACUCCUGGGUGGAAUCUGGUAAUUUGCAUUAACAUAAAAAGAUGACUAUUAUUUUUCUUUAUUUCUCUUCUUUCCCUGCAACUGUUCCAGGAUAUAGAGAGAAGUUACCUCAACUUUAAACUCUAAGGGAAAAACUUGUAGUGCAGGAACCUGGGGUUCAUGCCUGAGGAAAGAACUUACGAUGCCAAAUAUGAGAGUGCGAAGCUAACAUUUUCCAUUACAGAAGCAGAAGAACCAUCUACAAUCCCUGCCUGGGUAAAGGGUCACCUCGCCUCCACACAAGUCAGCCGCAGCUGCUUCUAGGGCCUGAAAUGGCAUCAGGAUGCAGCUUUGGAUCUGCUCAAGUACCUGAAAAGGGUGCCUGUUUUAAACUUCAAAAUACUGCAUCAAAGAAACUAUUUCUCCCAGUAUUUUUUUUACUCUAAGACUUCUCAAGAGUUUCUGUCAUGGCUCAGCGGUAAUGAAUCCGACUAGUAUCCAUGAGGAUGCAGGUUCAAUCCCUGGCCUUGUUCAGUGGGUUAAGGAUCCAACAUUGCCAUGAGUUGUGGUGUAGGUCCCAGACACUGCUAGAAUCUGGUGUGGCUAUGGCUGUGGUUGGCAGCUGUAGUUCUGAUUCGACUUCUAGCCUGGAAACUUCCAUAUGCUUAGGGUGUGGCCCUAAACAAACAAACAAACAAACAAACAAAAGGACUGCUCAGAGCUUGCAACUAGCUGACAUGUAAUGUGGACUUUCCAAAACGGACCCAGAAUGGGCAGUAAACUUAUCUGAUCACAGUGCACUCAUUUCUUGGAGCAUCUUGCAAGACUAGCAUCUCAUGGAACAUAUCUUGGAAAAUACCACCAGAGAUGUCAUAAGCCUAAAUAUUUUAGGAACGGGUAUUACCACCUUAAACCAAAAAAAAGAAAAACCAGAGUUCCCAUCAUGGCUCAGUGGUUAACAAAUCCGACUAGGAACCAUGAGGUUGCAGGUUCGAUCCCUGGCCUCGCUCAGUGGGUUAGGGAUCUGGCGUUGCCGUGAGCUGUGGAGUAGGUCACAGACGAGGCUCAGAUCUGGCAUUGCUGUGGCUGUGGCGUAGGCUGGCGGCUACAGCUCCGAUUAGAUCCCCUAGCCUGGGAACCUCCAUAUGCCACUAGUGCGGCCCUAGAAAGACAAACGGACCAAAAAAAAAAAAAAAAAAAAA
Molecule: long non-coding RNA, 4771 nt
Filed under: Sus scrofa (pig)
Lineage: Eukaryota; Metazoa; Chordata; Mammalia; Artiodactyla; Suidae
Description: lncRNA (ENSSSCG00015032951.1)
Source: RNAcentral